GUAGGCGUAGCUCAGUUGGUAGAGCGCCGGCUUGUGGUGCCGGUGGUCGUGGGUUCAAAUCCCAUCGUUUACCCCA
This 76-nucleotide transfer RNA is filed under the name Candidatus Brocadiales bacterium. Its description in RNAcentral is "tRNA-His". It matches the Rfam family "tRNA". Rfam says of the family: Transfer RNA (tRNA) molecules are approximately 80 nucleotides in length. Their secondary structure includes four short double-helical elements and three loops (D, anti-codon, and T loops). Lineage: Bacteria; Pseudomonadati; Planctomycetota; Candidatus Brocadiia; Candidatus Brocadiales. The record is from RNAcentral.